Long non-coding RNA from Gasterosteus aculeatus aculeatus (three-spined stickleback), 1509 nucleotides. NCBI's taxonomy places the organism in Eukaryota, Metazoa, Chordata, Actinopteri, Perciformes, Gasterosteidae. The record is from Ensembl.
GUUUCUCACUCAUGUGCCGCGCGUCCGUGAGGGGACGCCGCUGAAGGACAGGCGGCGCCGUGUGGUUUCCGCCGCUCAUCAACGCAACUCUCACAGGAAAAUGUUUUUUAUUAAGUGUGAUGACUUAUGACAGCGUUUCGACCAUUCAGAAUAAGACGUUUCUUGGAAUGGUCCUUUUUACAGUUUAUUUUCUCUUGAAAUCGGCGUACCAAUAGUUUGCCUUUCGUGACUAUUUCACAAGCGGCGGUGAGACGAUGACUUUCACGUGGCUCGAGGAAUCUUAACGAAUGUCUCCCCCAGAUGUGGAGCAGGUCUCCGGCUUGAGGUGAGGUUGUACUGAGGCCCUCCGGCCCGCUGGCACGGUUUGACGGUACAGAACGAGCUCAAGUCAGUCUCCUACCAGUGAUGAGGGACCCUGUGUGCCAGCUCAUAAAUGAGGCCCCGGCGCUUUGCAUCCAGAGGCGAUGGGUAAACACAACGUGAGCUCAGUCUCCCUCGUAAACCCGCUGCUCCGACAACGCCGAAGCUGCAGCCGUGUCGGGGUUCACCUGAUCCCACGCAUCUUUCCUCAAAAUCAUUAAACCAAAAAAAAUGAAAAAGCAGCACGGACGGGCGGGUGGCGUGCCGUCUUUCUCCUGGUUCUGGGUCUUGAAGGUCCUCAAUGGGCUCCGGGCCAGUUGACACAGGUGAUCCUGCACGCAAGGGUGCUUCUGGAAAACCAGACUCUGGAGACUUUGGGCUUUGCAGGACACUUCACACGGGAGCUGUGGAGGAAUUGGUGGAGGGCUACUUGCACAUGCGAUGCCAGAGGAAGAGGAUGAACCAGGGGGCAACGCCGGGGUCUCGAACCGUUGACUGAUACACAACAUGUUCCGGGAUGGAUGGAGGCUCGGUAGUCAACCCGACAUUCACGUUGUGUUUCUGCCCCACAGGCAGACGGAGCACAGGAACGAGUGCAGCGGGAUGAGGAAGCUUUACUUCUCCGUCUUCUGCCUGUUGAUCAAAGGACGUGGGAGAAAAAACACACACACACACACACUGUGAAGAAAAAGAUACAGCAAAAAAAAAAAAGCUCGGAACUUUUUCUUGAAACUUUUUCUCCUCUUUUCCCUCCUGCACUAUGUUCUUAGUCAAAUGUCUUUAUUUUGUAUCCGCAUUGACCUUCCUGCUAAUGUAAUGUUACAUUACAGCGUGUUACAUUUUGUCCAUUUGGUAAUUUUUAAUAAUAAUUAAAUAAUAAUUUAAAUACUCCUUUAAAGGUUUGAAAGGCAAUAUUUUACCCUGUUGUCCUUUCAUGGAAAGGAAUCCAUUCCCUUUGUUAUUAUUCUAACGUAAAAAUAUAGUAUAUAUUUUUAUUUGGGUUUACACUUCAUUCAAUUUUCUGUCCUUGUAUCUAUUUUGUGUAGAAAAGGCCAGUUUUUAUUUAUAGCACCACCAGCUUCAUCCCUGAGAUCUAUAUAGUUAAAUUGCUAAGUUGCUUGUUUUUAUAAAAGGUUAAUUUUUUUAAAU